AGUAAUACAAGGCAGACGGCUCAGUAACACGUAGUCAACCUACCCUAUGGACAAGAAUAAUCUCGGGAAACUGGGCAUAAUUCUUGAUAGAUCAUAAUGCCUGGAAUGGUUUAUGGUUAAAAUGAUUCGUCGCCAUAGGAUGGGACUGCGGCCUAUCAGCUUGUUGGUGAGGUAAUGGCCCACCAAGGCGAUUACAGGUACGGGCUCUGAGAGGAGAAGCCCGGAGAUGGGUACUGAGACACGGACCCAGGCCCUAUGGGGCGCAGCAGGCGAGAAAACUUUGCAACGUGCGAAAGCACGACAAGGUUAAUCCGAGUGAUUUCUGCUAAAGAAAUCUUUUGCCAGUCAUAAAACCACUGGUGAAUAAGGGGUGGGCAAGUUCUGGUGUCAGCCGCCGCGGUAAAACCAGCACCUCAAGUGGUCAGGAUGAUUAUUGGGCCUAAAGCAUCCGUAGCCGGCUUUGUAAGUCUUCGGUUAAAUCCAUGUGCUCAACGCAUGGGCUGCCGAAAAUACUGCAUAGCUAGGGAGUGGGAGAGGUAGACGGUACUCAGUAGGAAGGGGUAAAAUCCUUUGAUCUAUUGAUGACCACCUGUGGCGAAGGCGGUCUACCAGAACACGUUCGACGGUGAGGGAUGAAAGCUGGGGGAGCAAACCGGAUUA
This 660-nucleotide ribosomal RNA is filed under the name uncultured archaeon. RNAcentral describes it as "bacterial SSU rRNA". It matches the Rfam family "Archaeal small subunit ribosomal RNA", at positions 70 to 731 of the family's 1478-position model. The record is from RNAcentral.